RNAcentral lists this ribosomal RNA (520 nucleotides) under uncultured bacterium. Its description in RNAcentral is "bacterial SSU rRNA". It matches the Rfam family "Bacterial small subunit ribosomal RNA", at positions 791 to 1301 of the family's 1533-position model. The record is from RNAcentral.
UAGUCCACGCCGUAAACGAUGGUCACUAGCUGUUCGGACUUCGGUCUGAGUGGCUAAGAGAAAUUGAUAAGUGACCCACCUGGGGAGUACGUUCGCAAGAAUGAAACUCAAAGGAAUUGACGGGGGCCCGCACAAGCGGUGGAGCAUGUGGUUUAAUUCGAUGAUACGCGAGGAACCUUACCAGGGCUUGACAUGUCACAAAUUUUUGCGAGAGCAAAAAAGUGCCUUCGGGAAUGUGAACACAGGUGGUGCAAUGGCUGUCGUCAGCUCGUGUCGUGAGGUGUUGGGUUAAAGUCCCGCAAACGAGCGCAAACCCUUGUCUUUAGUUGCCAUCAUUAAAGUUGGGCACUUUAAAGAGACUGCCGGUGACAAAACCGGAGGAAGGUAAGGAUGACGUCAAAGUCAGCAAUGCCCCUUAUGCUCUGGGCUACACACGUGCUACAAAUGGCCGUGACAAAAGAGUUGCUACUUUGUGAAAAACAAGCUAAAUCUCAUAAAACGCGGCCUCAGUUCGGAUUGC